CGGAGGAUCCAAGCGUUAUCCGGAUUUAUUGGGUUUAAAGGGUGCGUAGGCGGCUUUUUAAGUCAGGGGUGAAAAGACGGUGGCUCAACCAUCGCAGUGCCUUUGAUACUGAGAAGCUUGAUUAAACUUGAGGCAGGCGGAAUGUGACAAGUAGCGGUGAAAUGCAUAGAUAUGUCACAGAACACCGAUUGCGAAGGCAGCUUGCUAAGGUCUUAAUGACGCUGAGGCACGAAAGCGUGGGGAUCAAACAGGAUUAGAUACCCUGGUAGUCCACGCCCUAAACGAUGAAUACUCGAUGUUAGCGAUAUACAGUUAGCGUACAAAGCGAAAGCGUUAAGUAUUCCACCUGGGGAGUACGCCCGCAAGGGUG
Molecule: ribosomal RNA, 370 nt
Filed under: uncultured organism
Description: bacterial SSU rRNA
Rfam family: Bacterial small subunit ribosomal RNA
Source: RNAcentral